Molecule: long non-coding RNA, 954 nt
Filed under: Mus pahari (shrew mouse)
Lineage: Eukaryota; Metazoa; Chordata; Mammalia; Rodentia; Muridae
Description: lncRNA (MGP_PahariEiJ_G0002554.1)
Source: RNAcentral
AGGUUUAGACUAGGUGAGCACUCUGCUCCGGAGGGACAGAUCGCCGGAGACCGCCGGCGGAAGGCGAGUCCUGGAGGGGUUAAGGUUCUGGAGUCGGACCCGGCCCGGCAGUCCCCUGGGCUUGAAAGAUUCGAAUGCCUCCCCAAUUGUCACCCAGGCUGAUCUUUGCACAGCCUGUUGGCUUCUCGUGGAGUUUGCGAUGAGAUCUCUGUGGUUCCCCUCAGGUGCUAAUCAGGGGCCACUGAGACAGGAGUUUGUGUCGGAGCAUGCGCUGUAUCUCUGCAGUCAUGGUGAGCCUCAUCCCGAUAGGGAUAAGGUAGAAAGCGCUAUGGAAUGAGUGGACAGUAAAGUAGGAUGGCUGUGCUGCCCAGACAGGAGAAGAAAAAGAGGAGCCUGCUGGUUAAGUUCUGGAGAAAUUUGUUGUUGUUGUUGUUUACUGAACAUGUGAAGGGAGGUAUUCUUUCUGCCUUGCCUGUUUUAUUUUUCAGGAAGCAGGGUUGGGAAUGAACCCUGGAGCUGAGACAGCCAUCCUGAAGCUAUAACAAGCCUAAAGAAUAAAUAAACCCCAGUGUCUUGAAUCCUGGCUGAUGUAUUUAGUGAAUGGCCUAGGGGGCUGAACAACCUGCAUUAAAGCUUGCUGUAGAUACGUGAGACAGAGUCAACUGAGACUGUGGCAGCUCUCCAAAACGGAUGCUGUGCCCGGUUUAAAAAGACAAAGUCAAAUAGAAUGGGGUUUUGGUUCGUACUUUUUUUGUUGUUUUUUUUUUUUUCUGACGACCUCAGUAUGUAACCUACGACUUUCUUUAAACUGGUGUUUCUCCUGCCUGAGCCUUCUGAAUACUAGGAAUGCGGCUAUGCACCAUGGGGUUGGGGUGGUAACCGUUUCUAAAAUAAAAUAAACCUGUAAGGCUUUAAGUAACGCUAAAAAUAAAAAAUAAAAGGGCAUUUUGUACA